UCGCGGCGGGAACGCGGGGCCUCCGUGUUCUGCUGUCUUCAUCAGCGUGGGCCGCGGGCCAUCAUGAGGAAGCCACGAGCAGCCGUGGGAAGUGGUCACAGGAAGCAGGCAGCCAGCCAGGAAGGGAGGCAGAAGCAUGCUAAGAACAACAGUCAGGCCAAGCCUUCUGCCUGUGAUGGCCUGGCCAGGCAGCCGGAAGAGGUGGUAUUGCAGGCCUCUGUCUCCUCAUACCAUCUAUUCAGAGACAUAGCUGAAGUCACAGCCUUCCGAGGGAGCCUGCUAAGCUGGUACGACCAAGAGAAACGGGACCUACCAUGGAGAAGACGGGCAGAAGAUGAGAUGGACCUGGACAGGCGGGCAUAUGCUGUGUGGGUCUCAGAGGUCAUGCUGCAGCAGACCCAGGUUGCCACUGUGAUCAACUACUAUACCGGAUGGAUGCAGGUGACUCCAGGGGAGGAAGGGAAGGGUCAUGGGUCAGACCCCAGAUGAGAGCCUCUACUUUGGGGUGGGUGUAGAGAAGGCUUCCUCUACCACCUUCACCCUUGACCUUGUCUCUUUCUGCCUGCCUGUGGCUAUAGAAGUGGCCUACACUGCAGGACCUGGCCAGUGCUUCCCUGGAGGUGAGAGCCACCCUAGGGUAGGGGAAAUAGGAACGAUAGAGGGACUGAUGGGUGAUCUCUUUGACCUCUGAUCCUACCCACAGGAGGUGAAUCAACUCUGGGCUGGCCUGGGCUACUAUUCUCGUGGCCGGCGGCUGCAGGAGGGAGCUCGGAAGGUAAGGGGAUGGCAGGAGGGUAGGAACCCAGGAGUCUUGGGUGUCUUAUAAUCUUGAGUCUUGCACUUCAAUCAGGUGGUAGAGGAGCUAGGGGGCCACAUGCCACGUACAGCAGAGACCCUGCAGCAGCUCCUGCCUGGCGUGGGCCGCUACACAGCUGGGGCCAUUGCCUCUAUCGCCUUUGGCCAGGUGAUCU
RNAcentral lists this small RNA (971 nucleotides) under Pan troglodytes (chimpanzee). RNAcentral describes it as "retained intron". Lineage: Eukaryota; Metazoa; Chordata; Mammalia; Primates; Hominidae. The record is from RNAcentral.